Molecule: ribosomal RNA, 206 nt
Filed under: uncultured bacterium
Lineage: Bacteria
Description: partial 16S ribosomal RNA
Rfam family: Bacterial small subunit ribosomal RNA
Source: RNAcentral
CUCAGUUCGGAUCGGAGUCUGCAACCCGACUCCGUGAAGCUGGAUUCGCUAGUAAUCGCGCAUCAGCCAUGGCGCGGUGAAUACGUUCCCGGGCCUUGUACACACCGCCCGUCAAGCCAUGGAAGCCGGGGGCGCUUGAAGUGCGUUGCCGCAAGGCGCGCCCUAGAGCGAAACCGGUGACUGGGGCUAAGUCGUAACAAGGUAUC